GACGAACCGUACGAACGUUAUUCGGAAUCACUGGGCUUAAAGGGUGCGUAGGCUGCGCAGCAAGUUGGGUGUGAAAUCCCUCGGCUUAACCGAGGAACUGCGCCCAAAACUGCUGUGCUCGAGGGAGACAGAGGUGAGCGGAACUUAGGGUGGAGCGGUGAAAUGCGUUGAUAUCCAUAGGAACACCGGUGGCGAAGGCGGGUCUCUGGGCCAUUACUGACGCUGAGGAGCGAAAGCGUGGGGAGCGAACAGG
RNAcentral lists this ribosomal RNA (253 nucleotides) under uncultured bacterium. RNAcentral's name for it is "partial 16S ribosomal RNA". It matches the Rfam family "Bacterial small subunit ribosomal RNA", at positions 524 to 776 of the family's 1533-position model. The record is from RNAcentral.